UACGGAGGGGGCUAGCGUUGUUCGGAAUUACUGGGCGUAAAGCGCACGUAGGCGGCUUUGUAAGUUAGAGGUGAAAGCCCGGGGCUCAACUCCGGAAUUGCCUUUAAGACUGCAUCGCUAGAAUUGUGGAGAGGUAAGUGGAAUUCCGAGUGUAGAGGUGAAAUUCGUAGAUAUUCGGAAGAACACCAGUGGCGAAGGCGGCCCGCUGGGCAGUGGCUGGACGCUGAGGCGCGACAGCGUGGGGAGCAA
RNAcentral lists this ribosomal RNA (249 nucleotides) under uncultured bacterium. RNAcentral's name for it is "partial 16S ribosomal RNA". It matches the Rfam family "Bacterial small subunit ribosomal RNA", at positions 524 to 771 of the family's 1533-position model. The record is from RNAcentral.